GUGGAUCGAUGAAGAACGCA
This 20-nucleotide ribosomal RNA is filed under the name Cordulegaster heros pelionensis. RNAcentral's name for it is "partial 5.8S ribosomal RNA". The record is from RNAcentral. Lineage: Eukaryota; Metazoa; Arthropoda; Insecta; Odonata; Cordulegastridae.